AUGGAAGCCGGCGAUCAUCGCGAUCAAUCCAUGGCCGGUGUGGCGGCGCACGCGCAGCUGCUGCCCGUGCCCGACGACAUCCUCGCGUGCGUCCUCCGCCGUCUCGAGCCACGCAGCCUCGCUGCGUCUGCAAAGGCUGGCGCGACGUCAUCGACGGCCGCCGCCUGCUGCGGACGGACCUCCUCCCGCUCUCGCUCUACGGGAUCUUCUUCAUGGAGAUAG
This 222-nucleotide ribosomal RNA is filed under the name Triticum aestivum (bread wheat). RNAcentral's name for it is "partial small subunit ribosomal RNA". Lineage: Eukaryota; Viridiplantae; Streptophyta; Magnoliopsida; Poales; Poaceae. The record is from RNAcentral.